Molecule: ribosomal RNA, 506 nt
Filed under: uncultured bacterium
Lineage: Bacteria
Description: partial 16S ribosomal RNA
Rfam family: Bacterial small subunit ribosomal RNA
Source: RNAcentral
AGUGAACGCUGGCGGUAGGCCUAACACAUGCAAGUCGAACGGCAGCACAGGAGAGCUUGCUCUCUGGGUGGCGAGUGGCGGACGGGUGAGGAAUACAUCGGAAUCUACUUUUUCGUGGGGGAUAACGUAGGGAAACUUACGCUAAUACCGCAUACGACCUACGGGUGAAAGCAGGGGAUCUUCGGACCUUGCGCGAUUGAAUGAGCCGAUGUCGGAUUAGCUAGUUGGCGGGGUAAAGGCCCACCAAGGCGACGAUCCGUAGCUGGUCUGAGAGGAUGAUCAGCCACACUGGAACUGAGACACGGUCCAGACUCCUACGGGAGGCAGCAGUGGGGAAUAUUGGACAAUGGGCGCAAGCCUGAUCCAGCCAUACCGCGUGGGUGAAGAAGGCCUUCGGGUUGUAAAGCCCUUUUGUUGGGAAAGAAAUCCAUCUGGUUAAUACCCGGGUGGGAUGACGGUACCCAAAGAAUAAGCACCGGCUAACUUCGUGCCAGCCGCCGCCGUAA